Molecule: ribosomal RNA, 241 nt
Filed under: uncultured bacterium
Lineage: Bacteria
Description: partial small subunit ribosomal RNA
Rfam family: Bacterial small subunit ribosomal RNA
Source: RNAcentral
AGGAUAAACGCUGGCGGCGUGCCUAACACAUGCAAGUCGAACGUCCUACGCAAGUAGGGAGUGGCGGACGGGUGAGUAACACGUGGGCAAUCUACCUUUCGGUGAGGAAUACCGGCGAGAAAUCGCCGACAAUACCGCAUACGCUUACGCAAGAAGCAAAGUCGCAAGACGCCGGAGGAGGAGCCUGCGCCCGAUUAGCUCGUUGGUGAAGUAAUGGUCUACCAAGGCGACGGACGGGUAG